Molecule: long non-coding RNA, 1034 nt
Filed under: Homo sapiens (human)
Lineage: Eukaryota; Metazoa; Chordata; Mammalia; Primates; Hominidae
Description: HSALNT0044749
Source: RNAcentral
UUUUUUUUUGAGACGGAGUCUCCCUCUGUCGCCCAGGCUGGAGUGCAGUGGCGCGAUCUCGGCUCACGGCAAGCUCCGCCUCCCGGGUUCACGCCAUUUUCCUGCCUCAGCCUCCUGAGUAGCUGGAACUACAGGCGCCGCGCCACCACUCCCGGCUAAUUUUUUUAUUUUAUUUUAUUUUUUAUUUUUAGUAGAGACGGGGUUUCACCGUAGCCAGAAUGGUCUUGAUCUCCUGACCUCGUCAUCCGCCCGCCUCGGCCUCCCAAAGUGCUGGGCUUACAGGCGUGAGACACUGCGCCCGGCCCAUACUACUACUUUUUUAGGAGGAAAGGAGGGAAUUUUCCAUGAGUUUGAAUCCUACAAAUGCCACAAACAGCUUCUGAAGCUGAAGCCAUGACAAUGAACUUCCAUGACACAAAGAAGAUGAGGAAUUGGAAGGGAACAGUGCAGGAGAAACACAGUGACAUUGUGUCACAGUAGGUAUUUAUGCCUGCUAUCCUCAUCCGAGAUAAGGUCAAUAACUUCUGCUGGUGAAGCCCAAGUCUGCUGGGGGCUCACAGCAGUUCCAUGACUGUGUCUGCCUGGUGCUAAGAUACUGUGUGCCCGAGCCAUGCUUCCACGAAGAAGCACUCCAAAUCACACCACCUCGAGGAUGAACACACCUUGCAUGUUCCUGAACUCCCACAAUCUCUACUUCACUAUCUGAAGAGGCAAUAUUAAUUUCUUCAUUGAGCGGUGCAUUGCCGGCAGAUAUUUUGUCACUUGCUAGGAAUCCUGGAUGCAAAUGACCUGCCUCUGCAUUCAGCUCCUCUAGAAGCCAGCUGGUCCUCCAGGUAGCUCCUGUGUCCUGGCCGCCUAUAGAAUUAUUGUGCUCUUGAACUACUGCAGCCGCCGAUAAAUUGUACACAGUUACCACUUCCGGGUCAGAGCUGGUGUCAGACAUAUCAUAAUGAGCUACAACUGGAGGUCCAUCUGGUAUCUCUGCAGUGAUUGUCUUGCUGCUCCCUGAAACCUCUUCAUCAUCAUCUGAUGAG